This is a long non-coding RNA of Drosophila virilis, 1762 nucleotides long. RefSeq lists it as uncharacterized. NCBI's taxonomy places the organism in Eukaryota, Metazoa, Arthropoda, Insecta, Diptera, Drosophilidae. The record is from RefSeq and is a predicted model, not a curated record.
UGUCACCUAUUCUGGUAUUUUCUCCGUGAUAAGGAAGUUUUCCUUAAGCAAUUUAAAUAUACAAAAAAGCAAAUAAUAUUCAAAACAAGACUUUCCAAUCCGGAAUACUCUAUUAGGAGAUACACUGAACCCAGCGCUAGGCUGUCAAUACAAACAUGCGAACUUUCCGUAUAUAAAUACAGCUUCAGCUGCUGUUGUGCCUCUUCUUCCCUUAGCCUAAAGGAAAAUGUUUUCUUGAAAUACUUCGAUGUAUAUUGUAGCAUUCUUUCAAUAAAAUUUCAGGGCACAAAUAUAAAUAUAUAUACAUACAAAAUUCAAACGCAAAAGUUUAAAAACGUGUUUGUACAAACAAAAAAGCGAAAUAUUUUGAAACUGUUUCUACUCUACAAAUUUAAUGCUUCUAGCUUCGGUCAUACAUUCAAAAUUGUAAAUCUCUGGCUCUUAUUGUUUCACAGAUCAAAGCUUUAAUCAAGACGGAAGGACCCACAGAUAGAUGGACAUACAUACAUAAUUAAUCAUAAAAUCCUAUUUUGACGUGUCCAGUUUGAAAUACUUAAAUAAAGUCGAGCCACCGGAAUGGGUAUCGAGAAAAGGCAGAGAAGAACGUCAGCUUAAUUUUACCCAAUUGAUCAAUUUACUUUCAUGGCCUCCUGCACCCGCUUCAUAUUGGUUGCAUAUGCAGAUGGACGCCGUUGUCGUUGAUUGGCCACAAAAUCGAAAGCCUCUAAUAUGUAUUAGUGAUAAUGAUAAUCAAGCAAGUGAAAGUCAGCAGGAGCAAAAGGCUCGUGGACUUAAUGUAAUUGCAUGAGGACUUGCCUAGCCGGGGUCGCCCUAAUUUUCCAUUAAGGACUCAUUGGCGCUGAAUUAACUUCGUAGGCGCCUUAAAAGAUGUACGUAAUGUCCUGUAACUCGCAGGAUUUGAAGACCAAUUUUUACUAGGAUUAUAGCUCGCUGCAAGACUCGGCUUAAGGCGUGAGUGGUUUGUACAACUCCGUACGCAUACCUGUGUCGCCGGAGUCUAAUGAAAGCAUUCGGAUAUCAGGUGCCCAGCCGCGAAGGGGUUAGGGUUAGAUCUACGAAUACGUACCCUUGCGAGCGUAAAAUUGUUGUAGCAAAAACACAAAAUUUUCACGGUUCAGCAAAAAAUUCGCAUCUUUUUUAUGAAAUGCGGCAUAAACGGAUUUAUAUUGCUGUCAAACAGGCAGCUGAGACGCAUUGUCUCUGGGUCAAAGCUAGAUAUUGCGUUUUCAACGAUUUCUAUGGAAGCGAAACUGCGUCGUCGUCCUCGUCGCGGUUACCUCUCGUCAGGUUACAGGCGCGUCAGCAUCUCACAAAGGGUUGUCGGUAUUUCGGUGACAAUUGUUGCAAUUUCAUCGGACAGAAUCAUAAAAAAAAACACAGGUACAAGCACGCUCAGAGUCUAUAGUCUGCAAAUCGGCAAGGACACGGCCGUAAAUCAAGGACUGCUCACUGGAAAAGUGAAAGUGGCGGACGGAAAGCGGGAAACGCUAAUCGCGGACCAUAUUUUUUAUACGACGAUCUCCAUUGUUGAAGAAGGAGGAUGGACUCCAUGUACUACGACGGAAUAAUAAAAAUGGCUUCCAAGACUUAAGGAGGAAUUUAACAAGGAAUUUACAAAAUGUUGGACACGAGCUGCAAUUGAGAAACGCGGAAUACUUCUUGUAUUUUUAUUUAUUUUAAGCUAAAUACGAAUUGGUUGUAAAUAAUAUUAACUACUUUAUCGAUAGAAGAAAUGACAAAA